UACAUGGGGUGCAAACGUUGUUCGGAAUUACUGGGCGUAAAGCGUGUGUAGGUGGCUGCGUAAGUCGGAUGUGAAAGCCCUGGGCUCAACUCAGGAAGUGCACUCGAUACUGCGUAGCUCGAGUACCGGAGAGGUUGGUGGAAUUCUCGGUGUAGAGGUGAAAUUCGUAGAUAUCGAGAGGAACACCUGUGGCGAAGGCGGCCAACUGGACGAGUACUGACACUGAGACACGAAAGCGUGGGGAGCAAACAGG
Molecule: ribosomal RNA, 253 nt
Filed under: uncultured bacterium
Lineage: Bacteria
Description: partial 16S ribosomal RNA
Rfam family: Bacterial small subunit ribosomal RNA
Source: RNAcentral